RNAcentral lists this transfer RNA (71 nucleotides) under Luciola sp. FM23. RNAcentral describes it as "tRNA-Trp". The record is from RNAcentral. Lineage: Eukaryota; Metazoa; Arthropoda; Insecta; Coleoptera; Lampyridae.
AAGGAUUUAAGUUAAAAACAAACUACCAACCUUCAAAGUUGUAAAUAAAGAAAUCCCUCCUUUAAGCCUUA